Molecule: ribosomal RNA, 284 nt
Filed under: uncultured prokaryote
Description: partial 16S ribosomal RNA
Rfam family: Bacterial small subunit ribosomal RNA
Source: RNAcentral
UGGGGAAUAUUGCACAAUGGGCGAAAGCCUGAUGCAGCAACGCCGCGUGAGCGAUGAAGGCCUUCGGGUCGUAAAGCUCUGUCCUCAAGGAAGAUAAUGACGGUACUUGAGGAGGAAGCCCCGGCUAACUACGUGCCAGCAGCCGCGGUACUACGUAGGGGGCUAGCGUUAUCCGGAGUUACUGGGCGUAAAGGGUGCGUAGGUGGUUUCUUAAGUCAGAGGUGAAAGGCUAGGGCUCAACCGUAGUAAGCCUUUGAAACUGGGAAACUUGAGUGCAGGAGAGG